This 323-nucleotide ribosomal RNA is filed under the name uncultured bacterium. RNAcentral describes it as "bacterial SSU rRNA". It matches the Rfam family "Bacterial small subunit ribosomal RNA", at positions 390 to 706 of the family's 1533-position model. The record is from RNAcentral.
AGCCUGCCGCGUGUGUGAAGAAGGCCUUCGGGUUGUAAAGCACUUUCGUCGGGGAGGAAGGCGAUGAGGUUAAUAACCUUGUCGAUUGACGUUACCCGCAGAAGAAGCACCGGCUAACUCCGUGCCAGCAGCCGCGGUAAUACGGAGGGUGCAAGCGUUAAUCGGAAUUACUGGGCGUAAAGCGCACGCAGGCGGUCUGUCAAGUCGGAUGUGAAAUCCCCGGGCUCAACCUGGGAACUGCAUUCGAAACUGGCAGGCUUGAGUCUUGUAGAGGGGGGUAGAAUUCCAGGUGUAGCGGUGAAAUGCGUAGAGAUCUGGAGGAA